GAUGAACGCUAGCGGCAGGCUUAACACAUGCAAGUCGAGGGGCAGCAUGACGGAACUUCGGGUUUUGUUGAUGGCGUACCCGGCGGCAAGGGUGCGUAACGCGUGAGCAACUUGCCCGUUUCUGGGGAAUAACCCGGUGGAAACGCCGACUAAUACCCCCAUAGUAUCAUUAUUAGGCAUCUUUUUAAUGGAUUAAAGAAUUUCGGAAACGGAUAGGCUCGCGUGACAUUAGCUAGAUGGCGGGGUAAGGCCCACCAUGGCUACGAUGUCUAGGGGUUCUGAGAGGAAGGUCCCCCACACUGGAACUGAGACACGGUCCAGACUCCUACGGGAGGCAGCAGUGGGGAAUAUUGGGCAAUGGGGGAAACCCUGACCCAGCAACGCCGCGUGAAGGAAGAAGGCCUUCGGGUUGUAAACUUCUUUUAGCAGGGACGAAGAACGUGACGGUACCUGCAGAAAAAGCAACGGCUAACUACGUG
RNAcentral lists this ribosomal RNA (479 nucleotides) under uncultured bacterium. RNAcentral's name for it is "bacterial SSU rRNA". It matches the Rfam family "Bacterial small subunit ribosomal RNA", at positions 28 to 507 of the family's 1533-position model. The record is from RNAcentral.